GAGAGCCGUGUGAUGGGUGACUAUCCAGCACGGUUCGGAGAGCACUUUUAGUCUUAAUUUGUUGGUGAAUGGAAGCCCCCCCUAUCAAGCAAGAAAGAAACGGCUCUUCCCACAGCGGACUCACCGUUGAGUCUAU
This is a non-coding RNA of Gossypium raimondii (Peruvian cotton), 136 nucleotides long. The record is from Rfam. Lineage: Eukaryota; Viridiplantae; Streptophyta; Magnoliopsida; Malvales; Malvaceae.